UAUAAGUAUAAACGCUUUAAGCGUGAAACCGCGAACGGCUCAUUACAACAGCUAUAAUUUACUUGAUCUUGACAAACUUACAUGGAUAACUGAGGUAAUUCUUGAGCUAAUACAUGCACCAAAGCUUUGACCGUAAGGGAAGAGCGCAUUUAUUAGAACAAAACCAAACGGCUUCGGCUGUUCCCAGUUGAAUCAGAAUAACUCAGCYGAUCGUACGGUCUUGCACCGACGACGUGUCUUUCAAGUAUCUGCUUUAUCAACUUUCGAUGGUAGGGUAUCUGCCUACCAUGGUGGUGACGGAUAACGGAGGAUCAGGGUUCGACUCCGGAGAAGGGGCCUGAGAAAUGGCCACUACGUCUAAGGAUGGCAGCAGGCGCGCAAAUUACCCACUCUCAGAAUUUGGAGGAGGUAGUGACGAGAAAUAACGAGGUUGAUCUCUUCUGAGGCCAACCAUCGGAAUGGGUACAAUUUAAACCCUUUAACGAGUAUCUAUGAGAGGGCAAGUCUGGUGCCAG
This 515-nucleotide ribosomal RNA is filed under the name Nematoda environmental sample. Its description in RNAcentral is "SSU rRNA". It matches the Rfam family "Eukaryotic small subunit ribosomal RNA", at positions 58 to 572 of the family's 1831-position model. The record is from RNAcentral. Lineage: Eukaryota; Metazoa; Nematoda.